AGCCCCGAGGUGUUUUACAUAUUAGAUUGCAAAUCUUAAGAAGUAGGCUAACCCCUACCGGGGCUU
Molecule: transfer RNA, 66 nt
Filed under: Siniperca scherzeri (leopard mandarin fish)
Lineage: Eukaryota; Metazoa; Chordata; Actinopteri; Centrarchiformes; Sinipercidae
Also listed under: 3 other names
Description: tRNA-Cys
Source: RNAcentral